Molecule: ribosomal RNA, 253 nt
Filed under: uncultured bacterium
Lineage: Bacteria
Description: partial 16S ribosomal RNA
Rfam family: Bacterial small subunit ribosomal RNA
Source: RNAcentral
UACGUAGGGUGCAAGCGUUGUCCGGAAUUAUUGGGCGUAAAGAGCUCGUAGGCGGUUUGUCGCGUCUGCUGUGAAAACUCGGGGCUUAACUCCGGGCCUGCAGUGGGUACGGGCAGACUAGAGUGCGGUAGGGGAGACUGGAAUUCCUGGUGUAGCAGUGAAAUGCGCAGAUAUCGGGAGGAACACCAAUGGCGAAGGCAGCUCGCUGGGACGUGACUGACGCUGAGACGCGAAAGCGUGGGGAGCAAACAGG